UACAGAGGUGGCAAGCGUUGUCCGGAGUUACUGGGCGUAAAGCGCGCGUAGGCGGCUAGAUAAGUCCGGUGUGAAAUCCCACGGCUUAACCGGGGAACGGCAUCGGGGACUGUUUAGCUUGAGGACGGGAGAGGAGAGCGGAAUUCCCGGUGUAGCGGUGAAAUGCGUAGAGAUCGGGAAGAACACCAGUGGCGAAGGCGGUCUGCUGGGCCGUUGCUGACGCUGAUGCGCGACAGCGUGGGGAGCAAACAGG
RNAcentral lists this ribosomal RNA (253 nucleotides) under uncultured bacterium. RNAcentral's name for it is "partial 16S ribosomal RNA". It matches the Rfam family "Bacterial small subunit ribosomal RNA", at positions 524 to 776 of the family's 1533-position model. The record is from RNAcentral.